RNAcentral lists this ribosomal RNA (305 nucleotides) under uncultured bacterium. Its description in RNAcentral is "bacterial SSU rRNA". It matches the Rfam family "Bacterial small subunit ribosomal RNA", at positions 333 to 637 of the family's 1533-position model. The record is from RNAcentral.
UUUUACCUACGGGACGCAGCAGUGGGGAAUAUUGCACAAUGGGCGCAAGCCUGAUGCAGCGACGCCGCGUGCGGGAUGGAGGCGUUCGGGUUGUAAAGCGCUUCUGUUCAAGGGCAAGGCACGGUCUUUGGCCGUGUUGAGUGGAUUGUUCGAAUAAGCACCGGCUAACUACGUGCCAGCAGCCGCGGUAAUACGUAGGGUGCAAGCGUUAUCCGGAUUUAUUGGGCGUAAAGGGCUCGUAGGCGGUUCGUCGCGUCCGGUGUGAAAGUCCAUCGCUUAACGGUGGAUCCGCGCCGGGUACGGGG